This 507-nucleotide ribosomal RNA is filed under the name bacterium enrichment culture clone ALO1_GLFRUDD03FKTMA. Its description in RNAcentral is "bacterial SSU rRNA". It matches the Rfam family "Bacterial small subunit ribosomal RNA", at positions 9 to 508 of the family's 1533-position model. The record is from RNAcentral.
GAGUUUGAUCAUGGCUCAGAUUGAACGCUGGCGGCAUGCCUUACACAUGCAAGUCGAACGGCAGCACGGGAGCUUGCUCCUGGUGGCGAGUGGCGAACGGGUGAGUAAUGCAUCGGAACGUAUCCUGGAGUGGGGGAUAACGUAGCGAAAGUUGCGCUAAUACCGCAUAUUCUGUGAGCAGGAAAGCGGGGGACCUUCGGGCCUCGCGCUCUUGGAGCGGCCGAUGUCGGAUUAGCUAGUUGGUGAGGUAAAGGCUCACCAAGGCGACGAUCCGUAGCAGGUCUGAGAGGAUGAUCUGCCACACUGGAACUGAGACACGGUCCAGACUCCUACGGGAGGCAGCAGUGGGGAAUAUUGCGCAAUGGGCGAAAGCCUGACGCAGCGACGCCUCGUGAGGGAUGAAGGUCUUCGGAUCGUAAACCUCUGUCAAGAGGGAAGAAACCCUUGGAUUCGAAUAGGGUCCUUGGCUGACGGUACCUCAAAAGGAAGCACCGGCUAACUCCGUCG